AGUGGCGGACGGGUGAGUAACACGUGAGAAUCUACCUUUAGGUCGGGGAUAACAGUUGGAAACGGCUGCUAAUACCGGAUAUGGCGAGAGCUGAAAGAUUAAUUGCCUGAGGAUGAGCUCGCGGCGGAUUAGCUAGUUGGUGGGGUAAGAGCUUACCAAGGCGACGAUCCGUAGCUGGUCUGAGAGGAUGAUCAGCCACACUGGGACUGAGACACGGCCCAGACUCCUACGGGAGGCAGCAGUGGGGAAUUUUCCGCAAUGGGCGAAAGCCUGACGGAGCAACGCCGCGUGGGGGAGGACGGUUUUUGGAUUGUAAACCCCUUUUCUUUGGGAAGAAGACAGUGACGGUACCAGAGGAAUCAGCAUCGGCUAACUCCGUGCCAGCAGCCGCGGUAAUACGGAGGAUGCAAGCGUUAUCCGGAAUUAUUGGGCGUAAAGCGUCCGUAGGUGGUUGAGCAAGUCUGUCGUCAAAGCGUGCCGCUUAACGGCAUAACGGCGAUGGAAACUGCUGAGCUAGAGGCCGGUAGGGGUCAGGGGAAUUCCCAGUGUAGCGGUGAAAUGCGUAGAUAUUGGGAAGAACACCAGCGGCGAAAGCGCCUGACUGGGCCGGAACUGACACUGAUGGACGAAAGCUAGGGGAGCGAAAGGGAUUAGAUACCCCUGUAGUCCUAGCCGUAAACGAUGGGUACUAGGUGUUG
Molecule: ribosomal RNA, 698 nt
Filed under: uncultured Oscillatoriales cyanobacterium
Lineage: Bacteria; Bacillati; Cyanobacteriota; Cyanophyceae; Oscillatoriales
Description: bacterial SSU rRNA
Rfam family: Bacterial small subunit ribosomal RNA
Source: RNAcentral